GCUGUAAGAGCGACGACGAGAAAGAAAGGAGAUGACGAGAGAGAGAGAUGAACCAAUCGACGGGGCAAUAACAGAGAAUGAAAACGACGACUGAAUCACCGUGCGCCGCGAGAAGACAUUAAAAUGCCGGCGAGAGCUCUGCAAAAAUCGGCACGAAGUGGGAGGCACCGCGCUUUUGCGUCACGGUCACGCAAAUCCGCCGCCGAUUGGCACGAGUUACGGCGUCGCGAAACGCUUGGCCGCGGACACGCCCGGAAGUCAAUGACGGAUCGGCAUAGGAAAGAAACGGACGAGCCAUUAACCGGCGAACAGAAGAAACGGUCCGGCGAUUGCCGUGACGAGAAUCCUCCGUUGCCCGAUGUUGAUCAACGCUGUUGAUCCCUCACGAAUCCGAAAAACGAUCGGCAAAAAUUAUAUUCAAAAUACAGAAACCGAUCCGUACGAAAAAAUACGAUGACUCAGAACAAUAUCUCCGGCGACACGAGAAUGACGUUGAUGUUAUCAGAAAACCGAAGUCAGAAUUAAUUUCCUCAAACACAACAACGGCGACCAUCGCGUAGGCGGAAUUAGGUGUUCUCCAUUAGCGGGCCCGACCCUGUUUACAUUCGCUGACCGAGAGAAGAGUGAGAAAAAAGGAAGCAAUCGCGGUUUCCCCAUUUUCAAUUCAUACGGGCGGAGAGGUCCCUUUGUGUCAUCUAUCCGUUUCCGCGAGGAGUCGCACGCAACAAGAAGCCGGGAAGCCGCGGUGGUCGGCGGCCGUCAUUGAUCUCCUGUUAGAAUCGGAUCACUUGGAUGUAACAAGAUAAAUAGUCAGCGGGACACCGUCGGUGGUCGAGGGUGCGGAUCGCGGAGUCAUGCUGACUAUGUAUCUGAUCAAGAGAACCGAGCACGCGCGUCCGAUCCCGCGGAUGUACUUAACGUGUACACCGUGGUGGUUCUCCGGUCGUACGUAACAAGCUGAUGGGACAUUUUUCGAUUCACUUACACACCGGUCGACGGAAAGAGGGAGUUAUCGCCGAUCAUGCCUCCUUCGCAGGAGCGACGAACUAAAUAUAGCUAGGUAAUUCUAGCCUUGGCGUAUUGUUUUACGUGAACGAAAUAGCGAUCGCUCGUAAUCGAUCUUACGUUUUAAGUUUUCGCGCGGAUCGGGGAUAGAAAAAAGCGAUUAAAUGAUUGACUAAGGAUUAUAACGCGGCAAGAACUAUGUCGAAUUGCUCGUCAUCCGACCGCGCGAACGGAUCUCACGAACUAACGACAAAUUUUCGCUUUAACGUUUCUCAUAACGUGCUCAGCGACGAGGAACUCGCCUUCCCUCGAUUUCCGAACAGCGCGAGCCCGAUCGACUUUUUAUGCCGGCCCACGGUUUUUGCACGAUCAUCGGGACUUUCGUCACGGCAACACCCGGGGCACGUGACGCCCGUGAACAUGGCGUUACAGGUGUUCGCGCUCAUC
Molecule: long non-coding RNA, 1452 nt
Organism: Pseudomyrmex gracilis
Lineage: Eukaryota; Metazoa; Arthropoda; Insecta; Hymenoptera; Formicidae
Exons: 3
Source: RefSeq, a predicted model, not a curated record